GUGCCUAACACAUGCAAGUCGAACGGUAACAGGUCUUCGGAUGCUGACGAGUGGCGCACGGGUGAGUAACGCGUGGAUAUCUGCCUAUUAGUGGGGGACAACUACAGGAAACUGUAGCUAAUACCGCAUAAUCUCUACGGAGGAAAGCAGGGGACCUUUCGGGGCCUUGCGCUGAUAGAUGAGUCCGCGUCUGAUUAGCUAGUUGGUAAGGUAAUGGCUUACCAAGGCGAUGAUCAGUAACUGGUUUGAGAGGAUGAUCAGUCACACUGGAACUGAGACACGGUCCAGACUCCUACGGGAGGCAGCAGUGGGGAAUAUUGCACAAUGGGGGAAACCCUGAUGCAGCGACGCCGCGUGCGGGAAGAAGGCCUUCGGGUUGUAAACCGCUUUCAAUUGGGAAGAAGAGAUGAGCACUAAUAUUGCUCUGAUUUGACGGUACCUUUAGAAGAAGCACCGGCUAAUUUCGUGCCAGCAGCCGCGGUAAUACGAAAGGUGCAAGCGUUGUUCGGAUUUACUGGGCGUAAAGAGAUCGUAGGUGGUUUGUUAAGUCGGAUGUGAAAUCCCAGGGCUCAACCCUGGAACUGCAUCCGAUACUGGCAGGCUAGAGUUUGGGAGGGGUAAGCGGAAUUCCGUGUGUAGCAGUGAAAUGCGUAGAUAUACGGAGGAACACCUGAGGCGAAGGCGGCUUACUGGACCAAUACUGACACUGAGGAUCGAAAGCGUGGGUAGCAAACAGGAUUAGAUACCCUGGUAGUCCACGCCCUAAACGAUGUCAACUAGCCGUUGCGGGUAUCGACCCCUGCAGUGGCGAAGCUAACGCGAUAAGUUGACCGCCUGGGGAGUACGGUCG
RNAcentral lists this ribosomal RNA (850 nucleotides) under uncultured bacterium. RNAcentral's name for it is "bacterial SSU rRNA". It matches the Rfam family "Bacterial small subunit ribosomal RNA", at positions 44 to 888 of the family's 1533-position model. The record is from RNAcentral.